Long non-coding RNA from Mus musculus (house mouse), 408 nucleotides. RefSeq annotates it as predicted gene, 30395. The transcript has 4 exons. The record is from RefSeq and is a predicted model, not a curated record. Lineage: Eukaryota; Metazoa; Chordata; Mammalia; Rodentia; Muridae.
CAGACCCACAGCCACAGUCCCAGGUGGCCCAACAUCUCCUAGUGAAGAGACUCAGCUGCUUCUCAGGAGACAAAUGAGCAAUCCUACACAGCGGCUGGAUCAAUGAAGGAAAAUGCCAAGUAGUACCCUUGGCCCAGAUACAGGAAGGCUUCCUGAAGGGAGAGGUGGUUCAGUCAGGAUCCAAAGCACAUGGACAGUCCCGUGCAGUGCUGUCCUCAGGACGUGCCCCAGGAAAGAAGAUGAGUCCCCAGCAGGCCUGCUAUCCAUCACUCCCAGCUUCCCACUCCGGAUCCAGCUGAAUUUCUCUAAUUUUGGGACUAUAGUUCCCUUGCAUGAAGAGCUGUUUUGUAGACACACUUCAGCACCUGGAAGAAAGCAUCUGUCCAUCAGGUGGAUCAUAAACUACUG